RNAcentral lists this ribosomal RNA (976 nucleotides) under Escherichia coli. RNAcentral describes it as "partial 23S ribosomal RNA". It matches the Rfam family "Bacterial large subunit ribosomal RNA", at positions 911 to 1869 of the family's 2925-position model. The record is from RNAcentral. Lineage: Bacteria; Pseudomonadati; Pseudomonadota; Gammaproteobacteria; Enterobacterales; Enterobacteriaceae.
UGUUUCGGCAAGGGGGUCAUCCCGACUUACCAACCCGAUGCAAACUGCGAAUACCGGAGAAUGUUAUCACGGGAGACACACGGCGGGUGCUAACGUCCGUCGUGAAGAGGGAAACAACCCAGACCGCCAGCUAAGGUCCCAAAGUCAUGGUUAAGUGGGAAACGAUGUGGGAAGGCCCAGACAGCCAGGAUGUUGGCUUAGAAGCAGCCAUCAUUUAAAGAAAGCGUAAUAGCUCACUGGUCGAGUCGGCCUGCGCGGAAGAUGUAACGGGGCUAAACCAUGCACCGAAGCUGCGGCAGCGACGCUUAUGCGUUGUUGGGUAGGGGAGCGUUCUGUAAGCCUGCGAAGGUGUGCUGUGAGGCAUGCUGGAGGUAUCAGAAGUGCGAAUGCUGACAUAAGUAACGAUAAAGCGGGUGAAAAGCCCGCUCGCCGGAAGACCAAGGGUUCCUGUCCAACGUUAAUCGGGGCAGGGUGAGUCGACCCCUAAGGCGAGGCCGAAAGGCGUAGUCGAUGGGAAACAGGUUAAUAUUCCUGUACUUGGUGUUACUGCGAAGGGGGGACGGAGAAGGCUAUGUUGGCCGGGCGACGGUUGUCCCGGUUUAAGCGUGUAGGCUGGUUUUCCAGGCAAAUCCGGAAAAUCAAGGCUGAGGCGUGAUGACGAGGCACUACGGUGCUGAAGCAACAAAUGCCCUGCUUCCAGGAAAAGCCUCUAAGCAUCAGGUAACAUCAAAUCGUACCCCAAACCGACACAGGUGGUCAGGUAGAGAAUACCAAGGCGCUUGAGAGAACUCGGGUGAAGGAACUAGGCAAAAUGGUGCCGUAACUUCGGGAGAAGGCACGCUGAUAUGUAGGUGAAGUCCCUCGCGGAUGGAGCUGAAAUCAGUCGAAGAUACCAGCUGGCUGCAACUGUUUAUUAAAAACACAGCACUGUGCAAACACGAAAGUGGACGUAUACGGUGUGACGCCUGCCCGGUGC